Molecule: non-coding RNA, 3907 nt
Organism: Cyanistes caeruleus (blue tit)
Lineage: Eukaryota; Metazoa; Chordata; Aves; Passeriformes; Paridae
Source: RefSeq, a predicted model, not a curated record
UCCUGAAGGUCUUUUCCAGCCUCAAUGAGCCUGUGAUUCCCUGGUGCUGUGAAGGUCCCUUUGAAUGUCCCACCAUGUCUGGCAGAGCUGUGCCCUCAGCAUCUCCCUGGAUGCAGGUGGCUGUCCACAUCCUGCUGCGUUUGUUGUGAGCCUGAACCGUGGAACACACUCAGGGGGAUCUGCUGUGCCCCACACAGAGGUUGAGAUGUUUUUGGCAGUGGGAAGACCCUGCAAAGCACUGCCUGGCUGCAGCAGAACUGCUCCUGAGUUCAGCAUCAGCAGUCGGUGAGAGAGAGCCGUGAUGGGAAAACAAUGAAGAAUUACAUGAUCAAAGUCUGGCUUGUGGUGUAUUCCAUUUUUCAUUUGUAGAACUGAGCCACUUGGGGAAUGGCAGAGAGUGGAUUCAGUGUCAAAACUACUUAAAACCCCACAAGUUUCUGUUUUGCAAAACCUUGACAGAAGUAGGCACAGUAGGCUCUGUUGUAUUUUUGAUGGAUGGCUGGCAAGAAUUGGAACUAAACAGAUCCUAAGAAUUCUGCAAGUACUAAAGAUGUAUUAUUUUUAGCAAUGAUUUCUUGCUGGUGAACCUCUGGGGCUCUUAAAUAGAAAUUUCAAGAUGGAGCUGGUGCUGUACCUGAUUAUACAGAGCUGCUGCCCCUGUGGAGAUGUGUGGAAUGUCUGGUGUGGAAGGCAUCCCUCAGUCAUAGCUGAUUUCCCUGUCUCCUGUCUGUAUAGCAGGAGAGCGGGUUUGAAACAGCCUUGAGGCAUUCCCUAAGAUACCAUCCAAACAUAUAAUCAAUGGUGUGUUCACAGAGGUAUAAGAAUUCUGGCUCACAAACAGAAAAAAACCCUUACAUAUUCCUAAAUUCUAAAUAUAAGGAUUCUGUAUGGCUGCAUAUGCCUUCAGGAUUUAUGAGUAAUCUUGAUGAAGGUUUUGAGAAUAUUUUCCCAAGUGUUUAAGAGUCCUUUGCAAAGUCCAAAAGAGUCCUGAACUUUCUCUGAGAUCUGUGGACAUAAAGAUUUUUUUUACCUUUGAGGAGUCUUACUGAGAUUAGGGUAACUUGGUGGCUCUCUUCUGAUCAAAGAAAUUGUGUUUGAAUGGAAUAUUGAAGGAUCACAGAAUAUCUGAGGCUGGCAGGAUCUCGCCCUGUUGAACCCCUACAUAAAACAAUUUCAGCCAGAGGGGUUCAGUAGGUUUAUGUUGGCAUCGAAUAUUUCCAAGGAUGAAAACUCCAUGUUCAGCCACUUUCUGCUUAUAACUCACAGAGCUUUGUGCUCUCUGAACAGUGACCUCACACUCCGUGUUGUGUGAGUAAAUCCCUCUGUUUGCACAGGCAGCUGUUAACCUCAGGAUGACGUUUGUCCCCUGGACUUUGUGAUGUGUCUGUGCAGGACAAUUUGCAGGACUAUGGGCCCUCUCUGUACUUUCUGCUUAUCUUGCUCUCUGCCUGGUAUGCCAUCUGCAGAGAGUGAAUAGUGUCAGGUAUCCAUCCUAAUUAUGGGUAUUGUGACUAUAGUGAGGCUGUGGUUUAGAUACUGUAAAGAUGUUGCUCUUAAGCCACUAUCAGUUUUAUUUCUCAUUAUAGUGAGCUGUCCUUUUUGUCUUCAGAGAACAGUGAAGAAACAUUCAUUCCUUCAAAAUGGUGACAUCUGUGAAAGCUGUGGGAGCUCUGCAGAGUUUUGUUUAUGGAAGUUCAACAAUUUCUGCAUCCAGGACUGACAGCCUGACGAGUGUUCACGUAGUCAUUAAGUCCACCAAAAUCCAGAUGUUUAUGUUCUCUCAGAAGCUGCAGCAAUAAAAGAAAAACCUCCCUACAGAACCUGAAAAUGCAGAGCCCUGACCCAAGGCACAAAAGAACAGGAAGCACUGGCAGCAGGAGCUCUCAGGAGCCACAGCUGAAAAAAGCCUGAAUCAGCAGGCAAAACAGAUAAAAUAGUAAAUUGACAUGUUCUGUUGGAAAUUAUAACUUGAAAUUAAAAACAAAUCUGUGACUAGCAGAGAAAGCUGAAACAGAGAUUGGAUGUGUAGGAAAAGAGCUUCAUGCUUCUAGACAGUGUAAUUGAUGUUCCACUUGGGACAGAAUAUCAGUGGAGUCCAGUGGGGACAGCAGCUGUUGGAUAUGACACGUGGUUCUUCUGGCUGAAGGGAAAAUGCUGAAAGGAAAAAAUACUGACUAUAAAACUGUUGGAAAUAAUGAGCAAAGAAAGCUCAUGGGAAAAGUGGCCGAAGAAUUGAGAAGCAAUGCAGGAUAAGGUAACAGAGACAUGCCUGAAAACCUCAUGGUUGAACUGGAAGUUUUUACUAUGCCGGGAAGUCACAGAGGCUUAAAAAAUUAUAUACAUCAGGAAAAUCAGUGAACUCAAAAGGGAUCCAUGAAAAGCAAAGACAGAAGAGAGCUCAUUACCAAAACAGAACCAAGGAAGAACUUGGUGGUGUAUUUCAAAGAAGUUGUGACCAGGCUCGGCUUCACCACAUUUCAAAGGAACUGGGGAACCUGAACCUUUCUUUUGUUCUUUUAUUUCUGUGUUAAGAACAGCAACCAAAAGCACAGGCUGCAUCCAUCAUGCUAAAAAACACAGAGCCAGCACAGUAUGACAGGACAAGAGCUUCAAGAAAUGGGAAGGAACUAAGUGAAUGUUUUUCAAGAAGUGAUUUAGCCUCCAGAAUGGGAGUGUGGAGGCAAAAAUUUGAGGUCUCUGAUAAAGGUCCUGCACACUGGAGUGGUGUCCUUGCUUUGUCCUGGGGCCAGUGUUCUGCAGGGAUACUACAGCAGGUGAAAGGUGCUGUGACUGGAGGAUUUGAAGGAAGGCAAGCUGAAUUUUUAGAGACUGGCUGUUCAUGUUGCUGAUUACCAUGGGGUGAUUAUUCUCCAGGAAAGCCAUCUUCUUUUGCCAUUGAAGAGUUGACUUUCCAGAGUCACCACGUGAAAAGAUGAAAAGAUUUAGAUGGUAGGGCACAUGUGAAAUCUGCAAAGUCCCCAGGAGAAGCAUCAGGAACAGGCACAGAGAUCAGAGUGCUCAGUGAGGGUGAGCAAUGACACAGCUGCCAGGAGGAUGCUCAGGAUCAUUUCUCUGCUGCUGUUUGCCACUGGCAUGGACUGACUCUGGAAUCAGGGUCCAGACUUUAGUACAGGCUCUGCAGUUUGCUAUGGUAUCAAGGGACAGUUGUUGUGAGAUGGCUUUGCAAAGCCAUCCUCUUCUCAUGGAAGAAAGAACUGUCCUGGCAAGGGUAGGGUGAGCUUAGCCCCAGAUCAAUUAACUAAAAUCCAUUCUUGUAACACAGAUGUCAUGGUGAUGCAAAAUCCUGGCAAGUUGGAGGAGCCUUCCUUUUUCCAGGAAACUAUAAGAAGAAGGUGAGGAAUGCAAACUCAAUUGCAAUCCUGGGUUAAUAUACAGCUUUUAGAGCUGGAGACAUCUCAAAGGGGUAAAGAGAAAAGUAGGAGUUUUUUUGAGAGGAGAAGUUGGCACGGGAUGAUAAAACUUAUCUUGUGGCAAAAUUAUGCUGAAAAAUCCUCAAGCAGCAAUCUGUCAUUGCUGGUGUCAGAGAAAGUGCAGAGGCUUUGUGAAGUGGGUACUGCACACUAGCAUUUUUCAGCCAGUUUUAGAUCAUAACCUUUCUGACGUGUAUGAUCUACACAUUACCGUGGAAUUUUAUUCACCCAGCAGGUGAACACAUGGUCAACUUCUCACUAAAGGAAGCCUUCAAUGGUUGUAUUUUCUAUUAAAAUGAUAAACUGAGCAUUGAUUCAGACAGAGGCAGUCCCUCAGCUGUUCUGCUGGGUGUGGGUGUAGAGAGGUGGUGUGUCUGUGCACCACUGUGGGUGGGUGUAUGAGGAAGGUGUGUGGCACCCCAGCUUUCCAAACAUCCCCACCCUGCCAGCUGUGUCUGAGGGAGGGGAAAAACACA